CGGAUCAGGUAGGGAUACCCGCUGAACUUAAGCAUAUCAAUA
Molecule: ribosomal RNA, 42 nt
Filed under: Penicillium griseofulvum
Lineage: Eukaryota; Fungi; Ascomycota; Eurotiomycetes; Eurotiales; Aspergillaceae
Description: partial 28S ribosomal RNA
Source: RNAcentral